AAGCUCCCUUUCUCACCCUUUUGUUCCCUUGCCGAUAGAAUCAGUCACUAUUAGAAAAAAUGAAAGACGCUCUGUUUAAAACAAUGAUGACAGCAGUACUUAAUAUGUAUUUCGAGGUGAACUUAUAUAGAUUGAGAGAGGCUGCAUUUGGCAGACUGAUGUAUAGGAAGACCCAUUUGUUUCUAGCUUCUCCCUGCAGGGAAAAUGCUUUCGUCAUUAUAGCCUCUUUACACAGACUGGCCAUUCUAGUGAAACAGGUGGUAAACCUUUGGGCUGCCCAGAAACAUUUUAUCUGUUUUCACUUACCUAGGAAGGGGAAAGAUUAGCGGGUCAUCCAAAAUCUGUAUGUAAGCUAUCUUCAUUUUCUUCCCCAACCUUCUCCUCCUGGGAAACACAAAUGCUAUCUCAUCUGACAAAAGGUUUUAGAGGAUAAAGCUGAAAAGAUUGGAUUGGGAUCUUUUUGUGGCUUGGGGCGGAGCCUUUUGCUAAAAUCUCAAGAAUGCUGCUUUGAGUUUAGCUAGGGUGGCUCUCAGAACUGGGGUGCCUGGCAUUCUCAGCAUUUCUCAGGGGCCUCCCACCUCUGACAACUGCAGUGUUAGCUAAUACAUACCUUGAGCAUAGAACUGAAUGCUGUAAUUCAGAGCCAUUUUUUUUUUCAACUUGAACAUUGUACAAUUUUACUGCAAUUUCCUUUGAACUUUCUUGCCACUGUUUGGAAUCUUAAAAAUUCAUUAGCCUUCUCCUUUCUGACAUAAAGCUACUCUUCAUCAGAGAUGAGUUCCUAUGUAUGUCCUUUGUUCCUUCAAUAGCUAAUUAAUGUGCUUGAGGAUACUUCAGUGGAAAAAAAGGUUUAAAUAUGCAAAUUACUAAUAAAUGUGUAACCUUAUGUAACUUGUGUUACAUCAAGUAACAAGCUAAUCUAGUUUGUUUCACUGGACUAGGCUUGUGCUCCCUACUUCAGUAUUUUGAUGCUUUCCUUGAUCUUUGUUUCACAAAAUGUUGUGAAUUUUGGUAUCAUUCAAAACAAAUGACAUUUAUUAGGUUUCAUUUUGAAACGAUGUACAGACAAGUCCCCAACUUAGAAACCGGUUUGUUCUUAAGGUUCUUGCGUCAGCCCAUAGAAGCCCACUGACCUCCACCACAGCCCAAAUGGAGGGCUGUGAUAGCCAGAUCUGGUUGGCUUUUGUGGGCUGACCCAGACAUUUAAUCACCAUCUCUUAUGUUGUUGCCGUAAGAAAUGCAUUCCAGGUUGGGACUUGGGAUCCUGAGAGCACAUUCGCCCCCUGUGGUGGCCGCUUGCCACCUUGCAAGAUGGAAGCCCAGUCUCCUUACUACCAAACUGUAGUUGUAAGCAGAGGGAGGGGUGAGAUGUUUAUAGGACAUUCCCUAAGCUGGGGAGUGAUUUUUAUCACUAUUCAUGUCAACUGUACUUUGGUAUAGACUCCCUAUCAAUUUAAUAAUAUGAAAAGCCUAAAAUAAAACUAUGCAUGCUAUUCUAUGUGCUAUUUUAUAUCAGUAAAUAAGCUUAUGCUUGCCAGUUGUAUACACAGUUAUGAGGUGUAUAGAACUGACUUUGACAGUAUUUUUUGCACUGUUUCCUAUCUGUUUUUAUAAAGUCUUAUUUAGAUAUUGGACCUUGUUGAUGUUCUCACUGCCCUUGUGCUUGCUAUAAAAUGUUUCAUAUGUGCCUUUACAAAUGUGAGAUCUUUAUUCUAACCUUUUUUUGUAAAAGAUAUCUAUUGAUUUCCAUAUGCAAUAAACCUUUUUUUCAGAGAAAAGUUACAUCUUCUCUUUUCUGUACUGUAUAUGUUUGCAUUAGUUGAAAGUGCCUGGGAAAACCUGCAUGCUUUGUUUUCUAAAGCCCAUUUAUUGCUACCCAGUUUUUAGUCCUGCAUAACCUUAUCAUACUGAAGAUUUAGUUUGAAAUUCCCAAGGUUGUCACUGUUAGAAGAAACCUGAAAGGGGUGAUCACUAGGCAAGUGGAGUGAAGAAUACAUAGAAAUGGGUCUUUCUCACAAAUGCAGCAAUAAGCCUCGUUAAGCUCCAAGCCCCUACUCACUCCUCCUUCACUGUCAUUUACUCAGGUACCAAACUGUUGAUGUGGAAAAGGCAGGCACCAACCAGGCUGCUGUAGAAAAUUUAAAUUCUUGCUUUUGCCUUUCAGCUUUAUAACAGCUCAACUUGUGUCCAGGUUUAAAGGUGGCUGUCCUGUCCCAGACUUUCAGCCAGUAACCACCAUAGCACAUUCACGGUGAACCCCUCAUAUGUGGGUAGAUGCUUUAUGUAUCCUUGAAUGAAAGAACAUGUCUGGGUUGACAGAGGACUCACUGCUCACUGUGGAACAAUCACAGAUGGCUAUAUCUGACACAGACACACAGCAGGUUAUUCCUGAAGAAACAACCAGCCUGGUGGACUGGAUAAAAGGCACUAUGAGGCACAGCCCCACAAGAGCAACUGCAGAAUAAAGAGGCUGCCCGACCCCAGUCCCAUGGAGAAGACUUGAGCUUGCUGAAUUAUGGACAGCAGGUGUCACUUUCACUCCAAGACUGGGCUCCCACCACCACUGAGAAAUCCUCCCCAGAGACAGAAGAAAAUACAAACCUCAAAUACUGAUAUCUCUUUAAUACUUUCAUCAUUCAAGUUUGUUCAGAACAUUACAAGAGGCAUGAAAGAAAAAAUAAUUCCAUUUUUAAAACUCUGUCUGUCCAAAGUAUAACAUAUGAAACCAUGCCAUUAUCUCUUAGGAAACAAAAGCAUUCAAAAUUAAUUUGGUAUUAAAGUUCAAGAUUCAGACUAACCUCAAAGUACGGCAUGUGCAGUGUUUAAGUGCAAGAAGUAUUUUCAUUCCAAUUAUUUUACAGAGAUGCUGGAGUGACGUGUGCAAUUUGAAAUAUUCAAAUCCUUUAAGGUUUCUGAACUAAGUGUUUAAAUGAAAACUGAAAUGCUGCAUAGUUUCAGUGGC
Molecule: long non-coding RNA, 2962 nt
Filed under: Homo sapiens (human)
Lineage: Eukaryota; Metazoa; Chordata; Mammalia; Primates; Hominidae
Description: HSALNT0298201
Source: RNAcentral